This 63-nucleotide transfer RNA is filed under the name Aporrectodea rosea. RNAcentral's name for it is "tRNA-Trp". Lineage: Eukaryota; Metazoa; Annelida; Clitellata; Crassiclitellata; Lumbricidae. The record is from RNAcentral.
AAGACUUUAAGUUAAGUAAACUAAUAACCUUCAAAGUUUUAAACGAGUCAACCUCAAGUCUUG